GGAAGUAAAAUCGUAACAAGGUUUCCGUAGGUGAACCUGCGGAAGGAUCAUUCAUAAUAAGUGUUUCAUGGCACUUUUUUAAAUCCAUAUCCACCUUGUGUGCAAUGUCAGGGUUGAUUUUUCUCUCGAGAGGAUCAACCCCAAACAUCAACUAUAUCUCAACUCUUUGUCUGAAAAAUAUUAUGAAUAAAACAAUUCAAAAUACAACUUUCAACAACGGAUCUCUUGGCUCUC
Molecule: unclassified non-coding RNA, 234 nt
Filed under: plant metagenome
Description: partial contains small subunit ribosomal RNA, internal transcribed spacer 1, and 5.8S ribosomal RNA
Rfam family: Eukaryotic small subunit ribosomal RNA (bases 1-53)
Source: RNAcentral